RNAcentral lists this ribosomal RNA (497 nucleotides) under uncultured bacterium. Its description in RNAcentral is "partial 16S ribosomal RNA". It matches the Rfam family "Bacterial small subunit ribosomal RNA", at positions 28 to 507 of the family's 1533-position model. The record is from RNAcentral.
GAUGAACGCUGGCGGCGUGCCUAAUACAUGCAAGUCGAGCGAACAGACGAGGAGCUUGCUCCUUUGACGUUAGCGGCGGACGGGUGAGUAACACGUGGGUAACCUACCUAUAAGACUGGGAUAACUUCGGGAAACCGGAGCUAAUACCGGAUAAUAUUUCGAACCGCAUGGUUCGAUAGUGAAAGAUGGCUUUGCUAUCACUUAUAGAUGGACCUGCGCCGUAUUAGCUAGUUGGUAAGGUAACGGCUUACCAAGGCAACGAUACGUAGCCGACCUGAGAGGGUGAUCGGCCACACUGGAACUGAGACACGGUCCAGACUCCUACGGGAGGCAGCAGUAGGGAAUCUUCCGCAAUGGGCGAAAGCCUGACGGAGCAACGCCGCGUGAGUGAUGAAGGUCUUCGGAUCGUAAAACUCUGUUAUUAGGGAAGAACAGACGUGGAAGUAACUGUGCACGUCUUGACGGUACCUAAUCAGAAAGCCACGGCUAACUACGUG